UACGUAGGGGGCAAGCGUUGUCCGGAUUUAUUGGGCGUAAAGCGCGCGCAGGCGGUCUCUUAAGUCUGAUGUGAAAGCCCACGGCUCAACCGUGGAAGGUCAUUGGAAACUGGGAGACUUGAGUGUAGGAGAGGAAAGUGGAAUUCCACGUGUAGCGGUGAAAUGCGUAGAGAUGUGGAGGAACACCAGUGGCGAAGGCGACUUUUUGGCCUAUAACUGACGCUGAGGCGCGAAAGCGUAGGGAUCAAACAGG
RNAcentral lists this ribosomal RNA (253 nucleotides) under uncultured bacterium. RNAcentral's name for it is "partial 16S ribosomal RNA". It matches the Rfam family "Bacterial small subunit ribosomal RNA", at positions 524 to 776 of the family's 1533-position model. The record is from RNAcentral.